GGACGAACGCUGGCGGCGUGCCUAACACAUGCAAGUCGAGCGGGGUUGAGGCGAGAGGUAACUCGAACUUCUACCUAGCGGCGGACGGGUGAGUAACGCGUGGGCAACCUGCCUCAAGGUUUGGGAUAACAGCCCGAAAGGGCUGCUAAUACCGGAUAUGCCUAUGGCCUCGCAUGGGGCUAUGAGCAAAGGGGAAACCCGCCUUGAGAUGGGCCCGCGUCCCAUCAGCUAGUUGGUGAGGUAACAGCUCACCAAGGCGACGACGGGUAGCCGGCCUGAGAGGGUGACCGGCCACACUGGGACUGAGACACGGCCCAGACUCCUACGGGAGGCAGCAGUGGGGAAUAUUGGACAAUGGGGGAAACCCUGAUCUAGCAACACCGCGUGUGCGAUGAAGGCCUUCGGGUCGUAAAGCACUUUUUGGAGGGAAUAGGAAGGAAGGUACCUCCAGAAUAAGUCUCGGCUAACUACGUGCCAGCAGCCGCGGUAACACGUAGGAGGCAAACGUUAUCCGGAUUCACUGGGCGUAAAGCGCGUGUAGGUGGUUCUGUAAGUAGGGCGUGAAAGCUCCCGGCUCAACUGGGAGAGGCCGUACUAAACUGCAGAGCUAGAGGAUGGUAGAGGGAGGUGGAAUUCCAGGUGUAGUGGUGAAAUGCGCAGAUAUCUGGAGGAACACCAGUGGCGAAGGCGGCCUCCUGGACCAUUCCUGACACUCAGACGCGAAAGCUAGGGUAGCAAACGGAAUUAGAGACUCCGGUAGUCCUAGCCCUAAACGAUGCAGACUAGGCGUCGGCGGUUUAAUCACCGUCGGUGUCCAAGCUAACGCGAUAAGUCUGCCGCCUGAGGACUACGGCCGCAAGGCUAAAACUCAAAGGAAUUGACGGGUCCCCGCACAAGCAGCGGAGCGUGUGGUUUAAUUCGAUGCUACACGAAGAACCUUACCUGGGUUUGACAUAGAGGUAGUAGGGAAGCGAAAGCGGACCGACCCUUCGGGGAGCCUCUACAGGUGUUGCACGGCUGUCGUCAGCUCGUGUCGUGAGAUGUUCGGUUAAGUCCGCUAACGAGCGCAACCCUCGCUGUGUGUUACAAGUGUCACACGGUACUGCCGAUAUUAAGUCGGAGGAAGGUGGGGAUGACGUCAAGUCAGCAUGACCUUUAUAUCCAGGGCUACACACACGCUACAAUGGCCAGUACAAUGGGUUGCCAAGCCGCGAGGCGGAGCCAAUCCUAAAAAGCUGGCCUCAGUUCAGAUUGCAGUCUGCAACUCGACUGCAUGAAGUUGGAGUUGCUAGUAACCGCAGGUCAGCAAUACUGCGGUGAAUACGUUCCCGGGGAU
RNAcentral lists this ribosomal RNA (1336 nucleotides) under uncultured bacterium. RNAcentral describes it as "bacterial SSU rRNA". It matches the Rfam family "Bacterial small subunit ribosomal RNA", at positions 27 to 1381 of the family's 1533-position model. The record is from RNAcentral.